GACGAACGCUGGCGGCGUGCUUAACACAUGCAAGUCGAGCGGUAAGGCCCUUUCGGGGGUACACGAGCGGCGAACGGGUGAGUAACACGUGGGUGACCUGCCCUCAGCUCUGGGAUAAGCCUGGGAAACCGGGUCUAAUACCGGAUAUGACUCCAUGACGCAUGUUGUGGGGUGGAAAGCCUUGUGCGGCUGAGGAUGGGCCCGCGGCCUAUCAGCUUGUUGGUGGGGUGAUGGCCUACCAAGGCGACGACGGGUAGCCGGCCUGAGAGGGCGACCGGCCACACUGGGACUGAGACACGGCCCAGACUCCUACGGGAGGCAGCAGUGGGGAAUCUUGCGCAAUGGGCGAAAGCCUGACGCAGCGACGCCGCAUGAGGGAUGACGGCCUCGG
Molecule: ribosomal RNA, 391 nt
Filed under: uncultured bacterium
Lineage: Bacteria
Description: bacterial SSU rRNA
Rfam family: Bacterial small subunit ribosomal RNA
Source: RNAcentral